RNAcentral lists this ribosomal RNA (23 nucleotides) under Prorocentrum triestinum. RNAcentral's name for it is "partial large subunit ribosomal RNA". The record is from RNAcentral. Lineage: Eukaryota; Dinophyceae; Prorocentrales; Prorocentraceae.
CAGACAUGAAGUUAGGCCAGCAA